AUGGGACAAAAAAUACAUCCGCUUGGUUUCAGACUUGAAUUUCUAGCCAGACAAUUAAAGAAUAGAAUUCCGUUUCAUAAAGCAAUGCAAAAAACUAUAAAAAAAUUCGCUGAAGAGGCAGGUGCAGGUACAAAAGGAGUUCAAAUACAAAUUGCGGGACGCAUCGACGGAAACGAAAUUGCACGUGUCGAAUGGAUCAGAGAAGGUAGGAUUCCUCUACAAACCAUUCGAGCUAAAAUUGAUUAUUGUUCCUAUCCAGUUCGAACUAUUUAUGGGGUCUUAGGAAUCAAAGUUUGGAUAUUUAUAAACAACGACUAA
Non-coding RNA from Vicia faba (fava bean), 318 nucleotides. Lineage: Eukaryota; Viridiplantae; Streptophyta; Magnoliopsida; Fabales; Fabaceae. The record is from the annotation of a GenBank genome assembly.